This 500-nucleotide ribosomal RNA is filed under the name uncultured sulfate-reducing bacterium. Its description in RNAcentral is "bacterial SSU rRNA". It matches the Rfam family "Bacterial small subunit ribosomal RNA", at positions 302 to 793 of the family's 1533-position model. The record is from RNAcentral.
GAUCAGCCACACUGGAACUGACNCACGGUCCAGACUCCUACGGGAGGCAGCAGUGAGGAAUUUUGCGCAAUGGGGGAAACCCUGACGCAGCAACGCCGCGUGAGUGAUGAAGGCUUUCGGGUCGUAAAGCUCUGUCAAGUGGGAAGAACCUGCAUUGGGUUAACAUCUCAGUGCACUGACGGUACCACUGAAGGAAGCACCGGCUAACUCCGUGCCAGCAGCCGCGGUAAUACGGAGGGUGCAAGCGUUAUUCGGAAUUAUUGGGCGUAAAGGGCGCGUAGGCGGCCGUUUAAGUCAGGUGUGAAAGCCCGGGGCUUAACCCCGGAAGUGCAUUUGAUACUGAGCGGCUUGAGUAUGGGAGAGGGAAGUGGAAUUCCUGGUGUAGAGGUGAAAUUCGUAGAUAUCAGGAGGAACACCGGUGGCGAAGGCGACUUCCUGGACCAAUACUGACGCUGAGGCGCGAAGGCGUGGGGAUCAAACAGGAUUAGAUACCCUGGUAG